This is a long non-coding RNA of Mustela erminea (ermine), 2940 nucleotides long. RefSeq lists it as uncharacterized. The transcript is spliced from 3 exons. The record is from RefSeq and is a predicted model, not a curated record. Lineage: Eukaryota; Metazoa; Chordata; Mammalia; Carnivora; Mustelidae.
GGUGCUGGCUGGGUCCCUGUGCCCUGCCCCACACCCUACACCUCUCUAGACAAAAGCCACAGCUAAGAAGCUUGCACCCCUGCCUCCUCCCACAUAUCUAGGAACCGCUCCAAUGAGAACAGCCUGCUUCCUCUGGCCAACCCCUUCUUUCAAGGCUAAAGAUAUAGAAGGCAGGAACUGUGUCCCAAGAGGGGAAGGCAUGAAGCAGGGCCUUAGACAUGAAGGAUUUCACCAGAGGAGGAUCAGGGUAUUUUACCGUCUGAAGAAAACUUUCAAGUGCCCUUCUAGUGUCUGAGAAUAAGAUCAACAACAGGUGGGCUGGGUUUUCUGAGUGUUACUGAGACGUUCCCAGGAAACCAAACCCUGGAGGCAGACCCCCAUCAUUUCUGGUGGAGACACAGGACCUAGGCACGCUUUUCUGGAAGCGGGGACUCCCUGAGCGCUGGUCACCGAGGGUCUACUCAGGCCCCUCUCCUCCCCACUGCAGAGGGGCUGUUCUGCUCCCAACACUGGAUUUGAGUCCUGAAGGGCCAUGAAACCUUGCCACCUUGUGACUUCAGUGGGGAGAACCCACUGAACUUUCUGGUCCUGUACCGGCCCGAUGGGCAUUCGAGGCAGCCUCACAGAGAGCCACAGUGUUUUACUCUGAACAUGACAACUUCUCCAGUUGCUCAUCCUGAAAUCCAGGCCUGCUAAUGGAAUUUAGGCUAUGUCCAGCAGUGGCUUUUCUUCUGCUGCACAACACCUGAAACAAGUGAGAGGAUCCACACAGGUCUCUGGAGUCACAUGGGCCUAAAACCUGAAGCCCGACCCCAUUUCCCGGGAGCCGUGAGACUGUGAGUAGUUUCAGGGACUGUCUGAGCCUUGGAGUCUGGGUUAAUGAAACAGGGACUGAUGGGAAGCGGAAAGAACCCUCGUGAGGUACUUCUGACAGGUUCUGGCAAUGAUAUCUGAGCACAGUAUUGAUAACCAUCGUCACGUGGGGUGAGGUCAGUGUUGUCCCAGUUUGACCAAGUCAGGUAGUCAAUCCCCUCCAGGGUGGUCGCUGGAGCACAUGUGGCAUGAGGAGGAAAAGGCAGGUGCUGGUUAUCAAGCAUAUCCCAGGUGCUGUGCUGUGUACUUUAUGACAAGGGUGCUCCAUUCCAGUCCCCAUAGAAAUACCCCGGGAGCUACGUGCUACUCUUGUCCCAUUUCACAGAUGAAGACUCUCCCAUUCAGGGACUUGACCGGCUAGGCAGCUAGUAAAGAGGCCAGACCUGGCUCCUAAAGUGAACGGGUACUGGGUUCAGGAAAGGCCUCUGUGACUACAGUGAGUAGCGUUCUUUGUCUAGCUGCGGAUGGGCAGCGGGGAGCCUAGGGGUGGUGAAGACGAGGCAAGACCCAGAGCAUUUCCUUGCUUCGAGCAAGGGGACAGUUUUGAAGAAGGAGGAACCCGCAGCCCAGCCUCCAGGCUUCUUGCUGGGUUCUUUGCCUUAUGUGCCCUUCCUUUCUGUGGAGAGAAAAUACCUGAUCAAAGGGCUUAGAGGAAUAGCUACAGAUAUAUUUUCUUUCUUUCUUUCUUUUUUUAUUAUGUUAGUCACCAUAUAGUACAUCAUUAAUUAUUUAAUACUUUUCAGUGAAAACAUGAUCUGUCAUCCAAAUGAGUUUUCGUUCAUUUUCAUUCUACUGAGUUCGCUUUUCAAGAGAACAUCCUUUUCUGCCCCACAGCCCAAAUUUGGCCAAAUUAUAUUGUUUGUAAUCUCCUUUCGUUUGCCUGAAGUUUCAAGAGUGACCUAUGAUAUUUUCAGUUUCCGUGUCGGAGAAAAUGAAGAUGUACUGGAAUUUAGAACUCAGCAUGAGUGAGAAAGCAGAAAAUCACAAAGACCCCUUAGUGUGAUACUUUUAAGUAGAGUCCCAUGGUUGGGGGAUGAGAGCUCCGUUGGUGCAUUCAUUCACGACCUGAUAUGUGUGUGCUGCCGCUAAAGACUUAACUGAGACUUGAGAAAAAAUCCCCCAAACAGUACGACCAUGGCAAAAGCCUUAUGUAUGUGCAGACAUGCACCCGUAACACGGAGAAAGGCUCUUGGAGGGGGUCUUUCCUGCUGGGUUAUAACUGUAUCAGACCAAAGAGAUGCUACCUUGAGUGUUUGGGGGAGGAUGAUGCACAAAAUGUAGCUUCCCCCGAUCUCAGAAUUACUGUUCUAAGAAACCAUUCAUGAGUGAAGGUAGGUCAACCACACCAUCUGAAGUUCACCAAGGAAAAAUGUACAAAUGACAGGACCACCAAGUUUAGAAAAUGUCCUACAGUGUGCAUUUUAUUCCAUACCAUUAUACAAUGUUUACAUAUAGUUAAAACUCUUAAAUGUUUUUCCUUUACCAAUUGUACGUAGUGCCUAAAUCUUUCAUUUUAACAUGGAGAAAUGGAGAGUGGAAAACCACAUUGAAUGCUAUCCUACAAGUUGUAAUGAGCCGCAAGUGUGCCAAUGAGGAGGAGACAGAAGUCUUACAAGAGCAGCGUGCCUUACACAUCCCUGGCUUUAGUGAAUUCAGGCAUACAGGACCCACAGCCUCACCUCGUAGUAAAACUCAAGACAAAAUAAAUUAGUGUUGGACAGAAUUCUAAAUUGUACAAUAUUGAACGAAAGACCACAGUGGGGCUUUUUGUUUAAAGUAGCACCAAUCCACACCUGAUUGUGUUUUCAACAUUAAUCUGCCUGUUGAAUACAUCGUUGGCACUUUUGAGUGGAAAUCUUUCUGCUUUCGUGAGGAUUCCUGGGCUGGCUGAGUACCCUGUGUUGCAAAACUCUCUAUGAAGUGUGGCAAUGGCAACCUGGGAAAUGGCACAUUUAAGUCACUAUGGCCCUGCCACGGGCUCGCCUGUGUGUGUGUGUGUGUGUGUGUGUUUUCCCCAUUCCCUGAUCUAGCUGGUAUUUCGUGGAUGUUUACUGUGACAGUGUAAAA